GUGACCGAGCGACGCCGCGUGUGCGAUGAAGUCCUUCGGGGCGUAAAGCACUGUCGGCAGGGAAGAAGAUUUGGGAGGUGUCCCUCUCAAAAUUGACGGUACCUGCAAAGGAAGCGCCGGCUAACUCCGUGCCAGCAGCCGCGGUAAUACGGAGGGCGCAAGCGUUGUUCGGAUUUAUUGGGCGUAAAGGGCGCGUAGGUGGGCAAGCAAGUCCGAUGUGAAAUCUUCACCGCUCAACGGGAAGAGGCCAUUGGAAACUACUUGUCUUGAGGCCGGUAGAGGAUAACGGAAUUCCUGGUGUAGCGGUGGAAUGCGUAGAUAUCAGGAAGAACACCGAUUGCGAAGGCGGUUAUCUGGGCCGGUCCUGACACUGAGGCGCGAAAGCCAGGGGAGCAAACGGGAUUAGAUACCCCGGUAGUCCUGGCCGUAAACGAU
This 435-nucleotide ribosomal RNA is filed under the name uncultured anaerobic ammonium-oxidizing bacterium. RNAcentral's name for it is "bacterial SSU rRNA". It matches the Rfam family "Bacterial small subunit ribosomal RNA", at positions 383 to 810 of the family's 1533-position model. The record is from RNAcentral.